CCCUUAGAUGUUCUGGGCCGCACGCGUGCUACACUGAGUGGAUCAGCGGGUCAGGUUGCGCGAAAGUGUUUCCUAAUCUUGAAAUCCGCUCGUGAUGGGGAUUGACGGUUGCAAUUUUCCGUCAUGAACGAGGAAUACCUUGUAAGCGCGGGUCAUCGUCCCGCGCUGAAUACGUCCCUGCCCUUUGUACACACCGCCCGUCGCUCCUACCGAUUGAGUGGUCCGGUGAGGCUUUGGGAUCUGAGCGGAAAGAGCGUUUCGCUGUUUCUGCUCGGAAAACUCAGUCGAACCUUAUCAUUUAGAGGAAGGAGAAGUCGUAACA
RNAcentral lists this ribosomal RNA (322 nucleotides) under uncultured eukaryote. RNAcentral's name for it is "partial 18S ribosomal RNA". It matches the Rfam family "Eukaryotic small subunit ribosomal RNA", at positions 1470 to 1796 of the family's 1831-position model. The record is from RNAcentral.